CCUAUAUUUAUGAGUGAAUAUUAGAAAGUUCUAUUACAUGAUAUUUUCUCUCUCUCUUUUUCUUUCAAAUUAAGGACCUUUAAUUGAUAAUAGAUUUAACUUUUAAAUUUAAAUUGUAAAUUUUAAAAAGAAUUUGAUUAUGAUAGCCAAGUGUAGAACAUAUUUCAACUUCAUCUCAAAUAAUGUUAUAUUAGGAAUAU
This 200-nucleotide long non-coding RNA is filed under the name Elaeis guineensis (African oil palm). Its description in RNAcentral is "long non-coding RNA (EGUI_LNC035004)". The record is from RNAcentral. Lineage: Eukaryota; Viridiplantae; Streptophyta; Magnoliopsida; Arecales; Arecaceae.